This 493-nucleotide ribosomal RNA is filed under the name uncultured bacterium. RNAcentral's name for it is "partial 16S ribosomal RNA". It matches the Rfam family "Bacterial small subunit ribosomal RNA", at positions 30 to 507 of the family's 1533-position model. The record is from RNAcentral.
CGAACGCUGGCGGCGUGCCUACUACAUGCACGUAGAACGCUGAAGGAGGAGCUUGCUCUUCUGGAUGAGUUGCGAACGGGUGAGUAACGCGUAGGUAACCUGCCUGGUAGCGGGGGAUAACUAUUGGAAACGAUAGCUAAUACCGCAUAAUAGUAGAUGUUGCAUGAUAUUUACUUAAAAGGUGCAAUUGCACCACUACCAGAUGGACCUGCGUUGUAUUUGCUAGUUGGUGGGGUAACGGCUCACCAAGGCGACGAUACAUAGCCGACCUGAGAGGGUGAACGGCGACACUGAGAGUGAGACACGGCCCAGACUCCGACGGGAGGCAGCAGUAGGGAAGCUUGGGCAAAGGAGGGAAGAUUGACCGAGCAACGCAGCGUGAGUGAAGAAGGUUGUCGGAUCGGAAAGCUCUGUUGUAAGAGAAGAACGAGUGUGAGAGUGGAAAGUUCACACUGUGACGGUAUCAUACCAGAAAGGAACGGCUAACUACGUG